RNAcentral lists this ribosomal RNA (403 nucleotides) under Verrucomicrobiota bacterium. RNAcentral describes it as "Verrucomicrobia bacterium partial 16S ribosomal RNA". It matches the Rfam family "Bacterial small subunit ribosomal RNA", at positions 355 to 776 of the family's 1533-position model. Lineage: Bacteria; Pseudomonadati; Verrucomicrobiota. The record is from RNAcentral.
UGGGGAAUAUUGCACAAUGGAGGGAACUCUGAUGCAGCGACGCCGCGUGAACGAAGAAGGCUUUCGAGUCGUAAAGUUCUUUUAUAUGGGAAGAUAAUGACGGUACCAUAAGAAAAAGCCCCGGCUAACUACGUGCCAGCAGCCGCGGUAAUACGUAGGGGGCUAGCGUUGUCCGGAAUCACUGGGCGUAAAGGGUUCGCAGGCGGAAAUGCAAGUCAGGUUUAAAAGGCAGUAGCUUAACUACUGUAAGCAUUUGAAACUGCAUAUCUUGAGAAGAGUAGAGGUAAGUGGAAUUUUUAGUGUAGCGGUGAAAUGCGUAGAUAUUAAAAAGAAUACCGGUGGCGAAGGCGACUUACUGGGCUCAUUCUGACGCUGAGGAACGAAAGCGUGGGUAGCAAACAGG